RNAcentral lists this ribosomal RNA (301 nucleotides) under uncultured Desulfofustis sp. RNAcentral describes it as "bacterial SSU rRNA". The stretch from base 53 to 301 matches the Rfam family "Bacterial small subunit ribosomal RNA", at positions 547 to 795 of the family's 1533-position model. Lineage: Bacteria; Pseudomonadati; Thermodesulfobacteriota; Desulfobulbia; Desulfobulbales; Desulfocapsaceae. The record is from RNAcentral.
AAGAAGUAGGGGGUGGGAGGCGGGCGUAAGAGGGUGGAUGCAAGGAUGAAACGGAAUGAUUGGGCGUAAAGGGGGCGGUGGAGGGGAGACAAGUCAGAUGUGAAAUAGCAAAGCUCAACUUGGGUGCUGCAGGUGAAACUGUCUGUCUAGAGUGUUGACGGGGAAAACGGAAUUCCACGUGUAGCGGUGAAAUGCGUAGAUAUGUGGAAGAACACCAGUGGCGAAAGCGGUUUUCCAGUUUAUACCUGACGCUGAGGCGCGAGAGCAAGGGGAGCAAACAGGAUUAGAUACCCCAGUAGUC